UGGUUUGGGGAUUCGCUCCCUGUCGCCAGGUGGCUUCCCUUUGUCCACGCCAUUGUAACACGUGUGUCGCCCCGGAUGUAAGGGCCGUGCUGAUUUGACGUCAUCCCCGCCUUCCUCGCAGCUUACGCUGGCAGUCCCACCAGAGUCCUCAGCUUUACCUGUUAGUAACUAGUGGCAAGGGUUGCGCUCGUUAUGGCACUUAAGCCGACACCUCACGGCACGAGCUGACGACAACCAUGCAGCACCUCGCAAACGGCUAUUGCUAGAAAAGGUGUUUCCACCUCGGUCCGAAUGCGUUCAAACCCGGGUAAGGUUCCUCGCGUAUCAUCGAAUUAAACCACAUGUUCCUCCGCUUGUGCGGGCCCCCGUCAAUUCCUUUGAGUUUCACCGUUGCCGGCGUACUCCCCAGGUGGAUCACUUAACGCUUUCGCUGUGCCGCUUACAGUGUAUCGCAAACAGCUAGUGAUCAUCGUUUACUGCGUGGACUACCAGGGUAUCUAAUCCUGUUUGAUCCCCACGCUUUCGUGCAUCAGCGUCAGUAAUGGCUUGGCAGGCUGCCUUCGCAAUCGGGGUUCUGCGUGAUAUCUAUGCAUUUCACCGCUACACCACGCAUUCCGCCUGCCUCAAACAUACUCAAGCCCCCCAGUUUCAACGGCAAUUCUAUGGUUGAGCCACAGACUUUCACCGCUGACUUAAAAGGCCGCCUACGCACCCUUUAAACCCAAUAAAUCCGGAUAACGCUCGGAUCCUCCGUAUUACCGCGGCUGCUGGCACGGAGUUAGCCGAUCCUUAUUCAUAAGGUACAUACAAAACGGGACACGUCCCGCACUUUAUUCCCUUAUAAAAGAGGUUUACGAUCCAUAGAACCUUCAUCCCUCACGCGACUUGGCUGGUUCAGCCUCUCGGCCAUUGACCAAUAUUCCUCACUGCUGCCUCCCGUAGGAGUUUGGUCCGUGUCUCAGUACCAAUGUGGGGGACCUUCCUCUCAGAACCCCUAUCCAUCGUCGGUUUGGUGGGCCGUUACCCCGCCAACUGCCUAAUGGAACGCAUGCCUAUCUAUCAGCGAUG
RNAcentral lists this ribosomal RNA (1068 nucleotides) under Parabacteroides distasonis. RNAcentral describes it as "partial 16S ribosomal RNA". Lineage: Bacteria; Pseudomonadati; Bacteroidota; Bacteroidia; Bacteroidales; Tannerellaceae. The record is from RNAcentral.